Molecule: ribosomal RNA, 550 nt
Filed under: uncultured bacterium
Lineage: Bacteria
Description: bacterial SSU rRNA
Rfam family: Bacterial small subunit ribosomal RNA
Source: RNAcentral
CCGGAGCUUGCUCCACCGAAAGAAAAAGAGUGGCGAACGGGUGAGUAACACGUGGGUAACCUGCCCAUCAGAAGGGGAUAACACUUGGAAACAGGUGCUAAUACCGUAUAACACUAUUUUCCGCAUGGAAGAAAGUUGAAAGGCGCUUUUGCGUCACUGAUGGAUGGACCCGCGGUGCAUUAGCUAGUUGGUGAGGUAACGGCUCACCAAGGCAACGAUGCAUAGCCGACCUGAGAGGGUGAUCGGCCACACUGGGACUGAGACACGGCCCAGACUCCUACGGGAGGCAGCAGUAGGGAAUCUUCGGCAAUGGACGAAAGUCUGACCGAGCAACGCCGCGUGAGUGAAGAAGGUUUUCGGAUCGUAAAACUCUGUUGUUAGAGAAGAACAAGGAUGAGAGUAGAACGUUCAUCCCUUGACGGUAUCUAACCAGAAAGCCACGGCUAACUACGUGCCAGCAGCCGCGGUAAUACGUAGGUGGCAAGCGUUGUCCGGAUUUAUUGGGCGUAAAGCGAGCGCAGGCGGUUUCUUAAGUCUGAUGUGAAAGCCC